Long non-coding RNA from Alosa alosa (allis shad), 173 nucleotides. RefSeq lists it as uncharacterized. The record is from RefSeq and is a predicted model, not a curated record. Lineage: Eukaryota; Metazoa; Chordata; Actinopteri; Clupeiformes; Clupeidae. The transcript is spliced from 3 exons.
UCAUGGCGGGGAGAUUUAUUUAUGGGAUUAACGCAGGCAUGGGCCUCUUGAUCCACAGCAUGUACCUGGUCGAGUGCUCCCCCAAGAGGUGAGCUACUGGGCACUAAAAAUGGCUGGCCCUGGUUGCUGGGUUUCGGAGGUGUCACUGGGCUGCUGCAGCUGCUGACUCUUCC